Molecule: small nucleolar RNA, 138 nt
Filed under: Ornithorhynchus anatinus (platypus)
Lineage: Eukaryota; Metazoa; Chordata; Mammalia; Monotremata; Ornithorhynchidae
Source: RNAcentral
CCCCUCUCAGAGUCACCCCUGGAGAGUUUCCACUCCUCUACCAGUCUCGGCUACGGGAGAGCGAGUCAAGCAGAGGCCUGACCAUUCCAUUCCUAGCUUGCGCAGUGGCUAGCGAGUGGAAGGCAAUCUGCUACAGGU